UAGCUCAGUUGGUAGAGCAUGGUGUUUGCAACGCCAGGGUUGUUGGUUCGAUUCCCAC
This is a non-coding RNA of Salmo salar (Atlantic salmon), 58 nucleotides long. The record is from Rfam. Lineage: Eukaryota; Metazoa; Chordata; Actinopteri; Salmoniformes; Salmonidae.